GAACUUUCUGGGAGUAGUUUACAUGGAUUUUCUGUCACUCGCUAGUGCCGGCAGGCACGUUCAAAGCUGGCACCUUCUGCUAGCUCCAGGGAAUUCUAUGGUGGUGAGGAAGCUGUGGAGGGCCUCUACAGCAUCUGUCUAUUGCUGGGGUGCAAGGAUGGCCUAACGUGAGGUCAGUAUAGCAUAAAGGUGAUGUGGAUUUAUUUGCCUAAGCAUAGAGAUCUAAUCACUUUGGACACUGCGAUCUGGACUCCAUCUGCCUCUCCAGAAGGGCACAAAUCUCCUGUGGGUCCUAUCUAUCAGCCAUGGGCAAACAUCUUGGAAAUGUGCUAAAUUAAUACCCAACUCACUUGAAGGAUUUAGAGUAUGUAACUCAGCCAUCAUUUAUCAUGCAGACAAAGAUCUUCAGAUCUUUUCAGGGGCUGAAACACCUCUCCUGUAGGGAGAGGCUGAGUGAGCUGGGCCUGUUCAGCCUGAGGAAAAGGAAGAUCAGGGUGAUCUCACCAAUGUCUGUAAACACCUGGGGGUAUACUUGCAGGGAACUGAUCUCCAGAGAGCACAUGAAGCUGAUGUCCCAGAACAAUAUCUUCAGGAACUGAUAAGCGUUCUUUCCUUUCAUUUAUCAACCGGCAGCAGACAUUCAGCAGAUGUAAUUUCAGAAAGCGAGGCCAGGAAACGCUCGUAUGAGGAGCCUUCUCACACCUGUCACAAGUGUGAGCACUCUGUGAAAGACCCAGAGGAAAUGCAAUUACUGCCACCACCUUCAGAGAAGCCACUUAGUCACUUAAAGUGGAAGACACAGAGAAAACAUCUGUCUUCAGAAAUUCCAGCUUCCCGUUUCUACUCUCGUUUGUCAAGAAACCCUGCGGGCAACUCCCCAGCAAUCCUUCAUUUCCCCCACCUGGAUUACAAGAUUAAGAUUCAUCUGGGAAGAAAAUAGAGCAUUUUAAUUCUAGACUUGAUGAAAUCAUUAUCUGCAACUGUCAAGACAAAAAUGACUUGAAGACAGAUCAUCUUGUUAUAGAAGACUUGCUUCAGCAGUCUGGAACUUACCACCAAUUUAGUUAUGUCAAUACAUUAAAGUUCCUUUUCAGUCAAGAUGAGGUGUGAAGUAGUAAAAUAGAUAUGUUUAAUCCAAUUUUAAUGAUCACCAAUUUUUAAUUAGUUGCAGAAAUGAACAGCAAAGAAAUAAUGUUAAAUAUUUUAGCUGAGAGGUUUAGGGAUUGAAAUAUUCACUUCAUGACUAAUGGAAAUGUCACUGAAAGCUGUGCUCCAGGGGUACUCCUGGUGAGUUCUGGCUGCUCAUGAGCAUUUGGGAACAGGAUCUGCAGCAGCUCAAAGCAACCCCCUGACCCGCAUGAAGUGUGAGCACAGGUUCUUCAGUUCUCAGUUUAUAACUACAGUGCCCCACUGUGAUGCUAGCUGAUGCAGAGCCCUGCCCAUAUGGCAGUAUGUGCUAGGCAGUCUGUCUUGCUGCUCACUGUGUGUUAUCCCAGCACAGGAAUGGGUGACUGACACUUCACCACAUGUGUUAUGUAAUGUUUCUGUUAUGGUUUCCUUCAGGUACUUGCAAAUGAGAAGGACAGAAAAGGGUUGUGGAAUGAAAUUUGCCUUUCAUAUAUGAAACUCAAGAACACCAGAAUACAGACUUGAUGAUUUAAAAGAUGAAUAUUAAUUAGCAUGAUAGAUAAACUAGCAAGUGUCUUUGGGAAGACAGAGUAGUACUUCUUCAAAAAAUACUGGUCUGUGACCAUCUAUUUAGACAAAGAUUUCAAGAAACCAUGAAUAUGUAGGGCAGCUCUUCUAAAUAAAUGCAUUCCAACAAGGAGCA
This 1831-nucleotide long non-coding RNA is filed under the name Numida meleagris (helmeted guineafowl). Its description in RNAcentral is "lncRNA (ENSNMEG00000017765.1)". Lineage: Eukaryota; Metazoa; Chordata; Aves; Galliformes; Numididae. The record is from RNAcentral.